AAAUAAAAAUUCAGCUGGCUCUUAAUAUUUCAUUUUACAGUCAAUCACGUAUCCACGCAAACCCUAACCUCUCCAUAACUUCAUCUGUUCUCAAGGUCCGCCGCCUCCCGCUUCCGCCAUCAUUGAUACAAGCACAGUCCAUUUCCUUGCUCCAUUUGUACAUCAAUAAUCACUCUCAAUUAACUAUCCCCACCCACCAUCUCAAAAUUUUUUACAGAUGCCAUGUCCAAUUUUUGGUUUUACUUCCUUGGCUCUCUAAUAGUUUGUAACAGAUUUUAUGGCAAAUGGAAGUAAGAAUUAUGAGGUUCAUUUAUUCUCAGGAAGGAGUCUUGGCCAGUAGUGACAGUCGAGUAUUUAUGCGUAUAGAGUAGUCGUAGAGAUGCCAGACACCACAUGCUUGGUCGCCUCGACUCCAUUUUUGCCAAGGAGCUCUUGAUUGGUCAAAAGUGAUGGUGGUCAGUUGUGACGAAAUAUGCUUUUGUAGUGGACUCGUCCUCCACAAGAUGAAGUACCUACGCUUCCUCCGUAAGAAUGUGAACCCCAAGCCGUCUUAUGACUUGAUCUGCUUCUGGGCUCCUUUCAAGAUUCUCUGGCCACCAUGCACUGGUAUGGAAGUCAACAUUUUCACGAAAUUAUUUAACAAGAUGUAUUUAUCUAUGAAUUUCUAUCUUAAAAAGAAUGCUAGUUGAAAUUUUAUUUAUUUAAUUGCGUUUACAUGUUUAGUUUUUUGAUUGAGGUGUAUUGCUCAUUUGGGUGUUUCUGUUUAUGUGAGGAUUACAAUGCUCGGACUACUGAUAAGACUGGUUAUGUUAUUCCUGUCGAAAUUACAGUAUAUAAAGUGAGUUUUUUCGGUUUUGUAAGUGAAGGGUGUUAGUUUAAUAAAUCUAUUGUAUUGGGUAGGUAGUCUCAGUGUUUGUAACUUUUUUCAGGAUUUGAGUUUCACUUUUAUCUUGAAGACUCCACCUGCUUCAGUCUUGUUGCUGAAAGCCGCAGGUACUCUUGUUUUAUCGUUUUUGGUUCUCUCCAUGUAUGUUAUGAAUUUAUUUUACACUGCUAAUGGUAUUUUUAUCCAAUUUCAUCGCAUUAUACAAAUGCUAAUGGCUUUUUAUUGUAAUUGAAUCAAUGAAUAUCUUCCAGCUUUCAACUUUAUUUGUGUAAAUACGUAUUCCUCAAAGCUCCUGCCCCACCUUUUUUUUGUGUGAUGUAAUAAUCAAUUCAGCCCUUUUUCUGCCUCAAAGCUGCUGCCAAUGCUGUGUUUCUGUUCCUGUAUAUAUAUGUAAUUGAUUUCAACAACAGGCAGCCGUUUCGGGCAGUGCUACGUAAAGAGGGUCUCAUGGCCCUGUUUUCCAGUGCCCCCCUGUUGGCAGGGUGCCGGUGGCCUGGAAAAAACGGGGCCUAUGUGGUCCUAUUUGAGAGGAUUUAUUCCUUUAUUUUUCCUCAACCACCCGAAAUUUUUGACUUGGAAAAGAGACUCCCCAAAAUCAGCCGCCGUUUUUCUUGUGAGUAUAUAUUCUCCGGAGUUUGCUGGAAGAACAGGGGCCCUGACAGGCACCCUGACCGAACCCCACCAAUAGGUGGGGGUCCCUUUUUUUGCGUGGGACCCACCCCCAUGGGUGGGGUUCGGUCAUGGGGCCUGACAGGCCACCUGUUCUUCCAGCAAAAUUCAUUUUCUCCAGCAAACUGCCUGAAAUUCUGCCUGUUUUCUAUUGAAAGAAUGUAUCAAUUCAGCCCCCAAAAAUCUGAUGCCGUUUUCUGUUGUAAUAUAUAAUUUAUUUUAUUUUUUUAUAACUAUGGGUGUCCGGACCAGCUUACAUUUAUCUCGACUAAUUUCACGUGAUCCUAAAGUUUACAGUCGCAUACUCACCUUAGUGACCGGACUUGAAUUAGUGAUCAUUGAGGGAGCAAAUCUAAAUUCUGACCAUUAAACUACCCCUCAAGGUUUUUGUAAUAUAUAAUUACAUUUAGAAAACUUGUAUAUAGCCUAUGACAAAUAAAGAUUUCAUAUUUUACUAGGUAAAUGAAAUAUAACUAAAUAUACUAACAUAAAUCUAAACUAUAUUAAAAAAUACGAACUUCUAAAUAGGAUUCUAAAAUUCAUUUGUAACUGAUAUUAUAUAUGAAUUAUGCUGAUUCCACGUUCCACAUUCAAUGACACUUGCAAAAUAGAUAGGAUUUCAAAUGAAAAUGGGAUGGUAGCCACGUCCAUUUAGAGAAACAAAUCGUACAUCUUCUAGUGAUUCUAUCUAUCAAGAAACGUCUUAUAGGAUUGAGGAUGAGAUUUCCUAUGAGAUAGUAUAUUAAGAUGAAUCAAAAUUAGUCCGUGCUGAUAAACUUAGUCAGUUAUAAGAAUUCUUAAAAUAAGAAAAAAUUAAAAGGGAUCCAGCGUGUAACGUCAAUUCUCGAAUUCGUUAUUCUCAUAAUCAUUCAAAAUACAGAUAGCAAAUGUUACGUGAUAACAAUAGACGAGCAGUGACUUUGGUUGUUUUUAUCCUGAAAUAAUAUUAAACUAUUUCACCCAUGUCGUAAAAACAAGUAUGCAUGACCCAUUCAUAACGACAUGGUAAAUCCAGAAGACAAAAAAUGUUGUGAGCAACGUCCUGAUUAUAAUUUUCACUAAAAUUUCAAAAAUUGAUGUUGCAUGUCUAGGAAACAUUCCAAAAUUAUAUGACAAAAGAAAUACUGGAAUUCUCUCACCCAAAGAGAUAUGAUACAAAAACUUCUACUUGAACUAUGCCAGACUAAAAUAAACAUCAAACAAAUUUUCCAAGUAAGGUUUAAUCAAUAACACCACCCUUCAUCGUCCUGUUGCACCUAACACACGGCAAUAUGAGGUUGAAAUCUAUAUUAUAUGCUUCAAUCAUAUCGGCUGGACCUAAAAGCUCUGUGCCUGCAUUGGCUCAUAAAUGGCUCCGCCCUUGUUUUUCCCCUCCUUUUUAGAAAUCGGAAAAAUUGUCGUUUGCAUAUGAAAUAUAAAGUAUUUCAUACAAUACCAUACAUAUUUUAAAAUUAUAAUUUUCUUGUAGUGACAAUACCAUACAUAUUUUAAAAUUACAAUAUACUAUACAUUUCACAUGAUAUGAACUACCAAGUGCAACUUAGUCCUUAUUUGAUGACCAAGUGCAAUUUAGUCCUUAUUUGAGGACUUCUAAGUGCAAUUUAAAUUUAAUGCUAAUAAUAAAAAGUGUGAUGUGAAUAUAAUUAUCUUAAAUUAUUUCCUUUCUUGGUAGAGUUGAUCACAUUUAAUUGUUAGAUAUUCCCCCAAAUAUCUAGUAACUUAGGAAUAAAACUUGGGCAGAAGUGUUAUCAGAAUUUUUUUUUUUUUUUUUGGGGGUCACCCUGAAAUUUUUAUCUAUCUUGAUUUUGUAUCCAAAAUAUAUAUUUAGUUUAUUUCCCAAGAGGUUUGACUAUUUUAAUUUAGCCUCUGAUUGGCCUCCAUUUUGAUAAUUCUUUUUUUUUUUUUUUAACAAAUUCAUUUUUAAUCACACAUUCUUUCAAUAAUAUAAUUUUAUACAUAUUCCUUCUUUUUCGAGACCGUUUGGACUGCAUGCUCGAUCCCUAUUAGGACAUUUACUUGAUUCCUCCACAUUCAUCUUUGGCAACUUGAAACUUCUUAAGGUAUUGGAAUUUUCAAGCAUGGACUGCAGAUUUUAUAAUUCAACACGAGUAGAGUAUUUGAUUCUCUUAAAGUUCUUGGCAGUCUCUUCUAUACCAUCAUUAAUAGAGAGAUUUGAGAACCUAGAAUUUCUUUUUGUGGAUAAUAGUGAGACUAUUGAAAUAACAUAGAACCUUUUUAUUAUGGUGAAGUUAAGGCAUGUAUUUCAACGGUGGUGCACAAUUCAAUAAAUCUUGGCAUGGGUGAGCAGCUAAGGGAGAGACAUUCCCAGAAAGUAGCCUACAAAGAAUUUAUUUUGUUUCCAUUUAUGAUGAUAAUGAUGAGAAAAUUUUGAGAUACUCACCUACUCUUCAAAGGCUGAAAUGCAAAUUUGCAGUAAUUAUUGAUCUAUUAAAAAACAAUUAUCGCUAUUCUAUCUUGAAUUUCCUUGGUUAGCUGGAAUCCCUCAGCAUAUCUUUUCGUUAGAGUUAUGAUAUGGAUGACUUCUGUUUCGAUUUGACGAGUUUACCCUUGAAUUUGAGAAGGUUGACUCUCAGUGACUUUAAUUUUUCUUUAAAACAAUUGGAGAUAAUUGGAAAACUACUGAGCCCGAGGUUCUCAAGUUAGGGGAUGGUAUCAUUGAGGAAAAUGAAGGUGAAUUCAAAAAACUUAAAUUCUUGGAAUUGGAUGAAGUAGAUAUUGAACAAUGGAAUGCUUGGAACGAUCAUUUUCCUAAACAUGAAAGAUUAUUGUUGCGAAACUGCCAGCUUUUGGAGAUUCCUUUUGACUUAGAGUAUUGUCCGUCUCUACAAAAGAUUGAGUUAUCUAGUAGCAAAAAUCUGUUGAAAACUCUGUUUGGAAGAUUAAAGAAGUGUAAAAUGAUUACAACAAUGAUGUUGAAGUCAUUAUCAACCACUCCUGACAAGAGUUUUCGUUCUGAUUUAUGUAUUUUAGCUUUCAACAAUAUUUUUUUGGAGGUCUCCUCUUAACAUUCAGACUUGGCAUAGUACUCUGUUUUUUACUUCUUGCAUUCUCUGGUGAGAAUGAACAUCAGAGUGCAAGAAAUAAAAACGAAGUAUUAUGCUAUGUUUGAAUGUUGAGAGAAGAGACCUUCAAAAUUUUUUUGUUCAAAGUUAAAAUACGUAAAUCAAAAAGAAAACUCUUGUCAAAAGUGGUAGAUAAUGAUUUCAACAUCAUUGUUGUAAUCAUUUUGUACUUCUUUAAUCUUCCAAGCAGAUUCUUCAACAGAUUUUUUACAACCAUGUACCUCAAAUCUUUUUUAGAGAGACAAUACUCUAAAUCAGAAGGAUUUCCAAAAGCUUGUAGCUUCGCAACACUAACCUUUCAAGUUUGGGAAAAUGAUCGUUCGAGGCAUUCCAUUGCUCUAUUUGUACUUCAUCAAGAUCUAAGAAUUUAAGUUUUUGAAUUCUCCUUCAUUUGCGUCCCAUCUUUUUUUCUCAAUGGUACUAUCACGUAACUUGAGAACCUCGAGUUCAGGUAGUUUUCCAAUUAUUUCCAUUUGUUUCAAACUAAAAUUAAAGUCAAUAAGAGUCAACCUUCUCAAAUUCAAGGGUAAGUUGGUCAAAUCGGGAUUUGGGGUCAUUUAUAGCAUAACUUCGACGGAAAGAUAUGCUGAGAGAUUCCAGCUGACCAAGGAAAUUCAAGAUAUGAUAGCGAUAGUUGUUUUUUGAUGAAUCAAAAAAUACUGCAAAUUUGUAUUUCAGUGUUCGGAGAUUAGGUGAGUAUAUCAAGAUUUUCUUAUCAUUUUCAUCAUAAAUGGAAACAAAAGGAAAUUCUUUGUAGGCUACUUGCUCUAGGCUCUGUGGGAUACAACAAAAUACUGAAGUUACUCGUUCUUGGGUUCCGUCAAGAACCAGCAGGUUGGAACGUCAUCCAAGUUUCACCACAUUACCAGGUGGUCCUGGUCUAUCAGUGUUCCAUCACAUUCAAAGGAAGAGGGUAUUCGUCCGUCAUUUGUAAGCGCUGUGCAAUUCAACACUGAAUCUUCGGGGAAGAUGAACCUGAAGAGGCCUAUUGAAGCUUCAAUAACUGAUCACUGCAACAAAAAAGAAGGUGGUGCUCACAUAAGGGCCAUAGGCAAGUCACAUUACUGUUAGUAAUAUUGAUUACUAAUUUUCAUCACUACAGUAAUAUUUGUUCACACAAUCCCAUCAUAUUUUAUUUUGAAUGUAAGAAACAUCUUUACAUUGUUGAGGCAGUUAUAACUCAAGUCUCUGGUUGAAUAGGAGAUUACAUGCACUGCAACACCUGGUAGUCUGGAGAAGAAAGCCCAUUGAAUAUUUGAUCACUGCGAUGUGAAGGAUAGAUGCUUUGUACGUUGAUAACUCAGGUCGGCCGACUGUGAGAGAUAGAAUCGUGUGCAGCGAUGUAGAGGCUCUCUCUUAUGUUGUUCCUUGUCUUAUGGUGAAGAUAAAUGCAUGGCACCCCAAGACAAUCGACGGCAUUAAAUGGCAAACCACUUGAUCUGAAGAUUGUGACUGACAUACCACAAGAUGAUCAUGGGUCAGUACUUUGUCUAAUCUAUUUCUGUGAUGUUGGAAUAUUUAUCUUAUUGAUUCACGGAAAUGAACUAGGAUAUCUUUUUCUUUCUUUUAUUUUCCCCUAGGUGAGUAAUACUUAGUAACAUAC
RNAcentral lists this long non-coding RNA (6241 nucleotides) under Olea europaea subsp. europaea. Lineage: Eukaryota; Viridiplantae; Streptophyta; Magnoliopsida; Lamiales; Oleaceae. The record is from RNAcentral.